RNAcentral lists this Y RNA (102 nucleotides) under Carlito syrichta (Philippine tarsier). RNAcentral's name for it is "Y RNA (ENSTSYG00000035490.1)". It matches the Rfam family "Y RNA". From Rfam's summary of the family: Y RNAs are components of the Ro ribonucleoprotein particle (Ro RNP), in association with Ro60 and La proteins. The Y RNAs and Ro60 and La proteins are well conserved, but the function of the Ro RNP is not known. In humans the RNA component can be one of four small RNAs -- hY1, hY3, hY4 and hY5. The record is from Rfam by way of RNAcentral. Lineage: Eukaryota; Metazoa; Chordata; Mammalia; Primates; Tarsiidae.
GGCUGGUCCAAGCGCUGUGAUGUUUACAAUUAAUUGACCCCGACCAGUUACAGAUGUCUCUGUUCCUCCUCCAUUCCCACUGCUUCACUUGAGAAACCUAAA